UACGUAGGGUGCGAGCGUUAAUCGGAAUUACUGGGCGUAAAGGGUGCGCAGGCGGUUCUGCAAGUCAGGCGUGAAAUCCCCGGGCUUAACCUGGGAAUGGCGCUUGAAACUACGGGACUGGAGUAUGGCAGAGGGAGGUGGAAUUCCACGUGUAGCGGUGAAAUGCGUAGAGAUGUGGAGGAACACCGGUGGCGAAGGCGGCAUCCUGGACCGGCAUUGACGCUGAGGCGCGAAAGCUAGGGGAGCAAACGGG
RNAcentral lists this ribosomal RNA (253 nucleotides) under uncultured bacterium. RNAcentral describes it as "partial 16S ribosomal RNA". It matches the Rfam family "Bacterial small subunit ribosomal RNA", at positions 524 to 776 of the family's 1533-position model. The record is from RNAcentral.